RNAcentral lists this ribosomal RNA (252 nucleotides) under uncultured bacterium. RNAcentral describes it as "partial 16S ribosomal RNA". It matches the Rfam family "Bacterial small subunit ribosomal RNA", at positions 524 to 776 of the family's 1533-position model. The record is from RNAcentral.
UACGGAGGAUGCGAGCGUUAUCCGGAUUUAUUGGGUUUAAAGGGUGCGCAGGCGGUCUGUUAAGUCAGCGGUCAAAGCCCGGGGCUCAACCCCGGCCCGCCGUUGAGACUGGCAGUCUCGAGUUGGAGAGGAGUAUGCGGAAUGCGCGGUGUAGCGGUGAAAUGCAUAGAUAUCGCGCAGAACUCCGAUUGCGAAGGCAGCAUGCCGGCUCCACACUGACGCUGAGGCACGAAAGCGUGGGUAUCGAACAGG